GAUGAACGCUGGCGGCGUGCCUAAUACAUGCAAGUCGAGCGAACAGACGAGGAGCUUGCUCCUCUGACGUUAGCGGCGGACGGGUGAGUAACACGUGGAUAACCUACCUAUAAGACUGGGAUAACUUCGGGAAACCGGAGCUAAUACCGGAUAAUAUAUUGAACCGCAUGGUUCAAUAGUGAAAGACGGUUUUGCUGUCACUUAUAGAUGGAUCCGCGCCGCAUUAGCUAGUUGGUAAGGUAACGGCUUACCAAGGCAACGAUGCGUAGCCGACCUGAAAGACUGAUAGCCCACACUGGAACUGAGACACGCUCCAAACUCCUACGGGAGGCAGCAGUAGGCAAUCUUCGGCAAUGGGCGAAAGCCUGACGAAGCAACGCCGGGUGAGUGAUGAAGGUCUUGGGAUCGUAAAACUCUGUUAUUAGGGAAGAACAAAUGUGUAAGUAACUAUGCACGUCUUGACGGUACCUAAUCAGAAAGCAUCGGCUAACUCCGUG
RNAcentral lists this ribosomal RNA (497 nucleotides) under uncultured bacterium. RNAcentral's name for it is "partial 16S ribosomal RNA". It matches the Rfam family "Bacterial small subunit ribosomal RNA", at positions 28 to 507 of the family's 1533-position model. The record is from RNAcentral.